CAACCUGCCCACCACUUGGGGAUAACCUUGCGAAAGUAAGACUAAUACCCAAUGACGUCUCUAGAAGACAUCUGAAGGAGAUUAAAGAUUUAUCGGUGAUGGAUGGGGAUGCGUCUGAUUAGCUUGUUGGCGGGGUAACGGCCCACCAAGGCGACGAUCAGUAGGGGUUCUGAGAGGAAGGUCCCCCACAUUGGAACUGAGACACGGUCCAAACUCCUACGGGAGGCAGCAGUGAGGAAUAUUGGUCAAUGGACGAGAGUCUGAACCAGCCAAGUAGCGUGCAGGAUGACGGCCCUAUGGGUUGUAAACUGCUUUUAUAAGGGAAUAAAGUUAGUCUCGUGAGACUUUUUGCAUGUACCUUAUGAAUAAGGACCGGCUAAUUCCGUGCCAGCAGCCGCGGUAAUACGGAAGGUCCGGGCGUUAUCCGGAUUUAUUGGGUUUAAAGGGAGCGUAGGCCGGAGAUUAAGCGUGUUGUGAAAUGUAGACGCUCAACGUCUGCACUGCAGCGCGAACUGGUUUCCUUGAGUACGCACAAAGUGGGCGGAAUUCGUGGUGUAGCGGUGAAAUGCUAGAUAUCACGAAGAACUCCGAUUG
This 594-nucleotide ribosomal RNA is filed under the name uncultured Bacteroidota bacterium. RNAcentral describes it as "bacterial SSU rRNA". It matches the Rfam family "Bacterial small subunit ribosomal RNA", at positions 122 to 715 of the family's 1533-position model. Lineage: Bacteria; Pseudomonadati; Bacteroidota. The record is from RNAcentral.